This is a non-coding RNA of Cavia porcellus (domestic guinea pig), 64 nucleotides long. Lineage: Eukaryota; Metazoa; Chordata; Mammalia; Rodentia; Caviidae. The record is from Rfam.
GGGGAUUUAGCUCAGCGGCAUAAGCACCUGCCUUGCAAGCAGGUCGUCGUGAGUUCGAUCCCCG